UACGGAGGGUGCAAGCGUUAUCCGGAUUUACUGGGUUUAAAGGGUGCGUAGGCGGGCCCUUAAGUCAGUGGUGAAAGCUCCGAGCUUAACUCGGAAACUGCCAUUGAUACUAUAGGUCUUGAAUUCGGUCGAGGUUGGCGGGAUGUGUCGUGUAGCGGUGAAAUGCUUAGAGAUCGGAAAGAACACCAACGGCGAAAGCACUCUGCUGGGCCGACACUGACACUGAGAGACGAAAGCUAGGGGAGCGAAUGGG
This 253-nucleotide ribosomal RNA is filed under the name uncultured bacterium. RNAcentral's name for it is "partial 16S ribosomal RNA". It matches the Rfam family "Bacterial small subunit ribosomal RNA", at positions 524 to 776 of the family's 1533-position model. The record is from RNAcentral.